RNA transcript from Onychostruthus taczanowskii (white-rumped snowfinch), 3534 nucleotides. It is a transcript of the gene named lin-52 DREAM MuvB core complex component, with no coding region annotated. Lineage: Eukaryota; Metazoa; Chordata; Aves; Passeriformes; Passeridae. The transcript is spliced from 7 exons. The record is from RefSeq and is a predicted model, not a curated record.
ACCGCCCCGCGGCGGCCGCGAGAGCGGCACGUGGGGCUCGGGGGCGGGGUUUGUUUUCCGCUCCCGCUCGGCCGCGCCGCGAGGGCGGUCACGUGAGGCGCGCGCCAUGGCGGCUCCGGCGGACGGCGCCGACCUGGAGGCCUCGCUGCUGAGCUUCGAGAAGCUGGACCGCGCCUCCCCGGACCUGUGGCCCGAGCAGCUGCCCGGCGUUGCCGAGUUCGCCGCCUCCUUCAAAAGCCCCAUUACAAGUUCUCCUCCCAAGUGGAUGGCUGAAUUAGAAAAUGAUGAUAUUGAUAUGUUGAAGGAGUUGGGGAGCCUUACUACAGCUAAUCUGAUGGAAAAAGUUCGUGGUCUGCAGAACCUGGCUUAUCAACUGGGACUGGAUGAAUGAGUGUUGGGUGAUUGCAGUGAUCUUCAGUGUCAGUGUAACAGUUUCCUGAAGCGCAGCUUGGAGUGUCUGCAUGUGCCUCCAGUGAAGGUGACUGACCUUGUUUUCACUAGCCACUGCUCUCCUGAGAUGGCAGUUCAACUCUCUCUGAAAUUGGGCUUGGGGUAGAAUUCACUGCUAGAGAAAUGACUCGAGGGAAAUUCCUGAACAUCCUAGAGAAACCCAAGAAGUAACUGCAUCUAACAUUUGGAUGAAAAUACCCCAACUAAGUAGUUUUAUGUACUGCAGAUCCAGAUGAAGCCCAGAAAGUCUAAGAAGAACAAAGCUCUUGCUGUAGACCUUCAGAAGCAAGCAUCUCUUUUUGCUUCCACAGCUCAUCUCUUCAUGGGAGAAAUGUACAAUAUGCAGAGGUCACAGGGACUGCAGUUGGUUGCACUGGAAUUCGGACUUCAUCUGACCGUAGGAUGUCCAGCAGGAGGACUUGGCCCUGACAUGCUGUGACACAGUUACUUGUUUCCAUCAGCAGCUCAAAGUGAACAGCCAGUGUCCUUACUCAGCUGCUCUCAGGGGCAGCCUGUUUGAGGUACACAGCAGAUCUGACACUGGCCAGUGUCCAUCAUGAGGCCUUGACCUUUGGUGUGUCUUCUGUCUCAGAUGCAUUGAUUUCCUGUGUGCAACGUCUGUGCUGAAGGAUUUGAGCAUAGUUUGGGGUGUGGAUAGACCAGGAGCACCAGCAUUCAGCAGGAGCACAUGCUUUUAGUGUAGAAGCCAAGUGCAGUCUCUGCAUCAGAUUCCAGCUGCCCACUGCCUUCAGAGAAGCACAUGUGGUACCCCGAGGAAGAGCUCCAGACCUUUCGUGUGCCAGGAGCUUCAUUUCGCUGCUGAGUGGUUCUCUAAGUGAAAUUGAAACAGACCACAGGGAGUAAGAAGUGUUACUGUGUCUCCAGGAAAAUAUCCUCACUGAAGCUUUGGCCAGUACACAAAGAAACAGCUUUGUCAGUCCUCUGCAAUUCUUUGCUUCUUGUAGGGCUAGAAACUUGAACGAGUUCUAAAGUUGAAAGAUGGUAAUGUUUUCAGUUAUCACUCCAAGAAGUGGCAUCAGAACUGUUAGCCACAUGGUGAAGAUGGUCUGCCUAUACAGGAUCUCAAUGUUUCUGAAAAUAAUGUUUUGUGGUAUUUUUUAAUUGCUUAUAAACCAGCACCUCAAAAUUUUCUUCUCCUACAAACCCAGAAUUUUAAAGAUAAAAAUUUCUGUGAGCUGCUUGCUUUCAGAAUACUGUGAUUACCAUUUAAUGCCUUUUUCUUCUGUUCAUGCAAUUCUACAUAUUCACCCUUUGGAAGAGGUAUAGAGCAUGUUCAGACUUUUGGUUUUAUUUAAGAAAAUCUUUUUUUUAUUCCAUCCUCUUUCCUUUUCCUAGAGAAAAACAUUUUAAGCAUUAGUAAAUAUGUUCUUUUUUAGGAUACAAUACAAUGUUGAAACAUAACAUAAUAUAAUGUUAUAUUUACCAUGCGGGCUUUUCAAAACGUGUCAUUUCUCAGGCUGUAGUCACAGAUGAGAGGAGAAAUUAUUUGGAAAUAGUACAUGUAACAGGCUGUCCUUACAGCACUGCAUUUUUCUGGCUUUGCAGAGAGAGGGGACUCUUUUUGGGUGUGUGUGCAAUAAAGAGGGGGAGAUUUUUUUGAUCAAAUAGACUUCUGAGUUUUACUGAAUUGCUGGUGACCCUUUGGUUUGCAGUCUGUGGUUUUUGGUUAUUGCCACUCAAAACUAGUCUUGUUUUGGACAGCUCUGAUUAACUAAGUUUAAGUAGUUAAAUCCUACAUCCUGGAAAGACCCUGCACAAAUUUAGAAAUAUCAGGAGCCUGAUUUAAGACUUAACAGAGUUAUUUCUGUCCUUCAGAGUUUAUGCAGGGCUGAGCUUAACAGGAACUCCAUCCCUUGAGAACAUGAGAAUUAAGAGAGAUGAAUGAGAAGAGAAGCUGAAAGUGGUAGUUCAGGAAUAGAAAAAAACCCGAUGGUGCAAACUGAUGUUGAUGUAGCUUUAGGCUUGAAUUAUAGAUUUGGAAUGCAAAUUCAAGUUUGCAUACUAUAUAUGUAAUAUAUGUACACAUAUAUGAUGUAAUGGGAUACUUGAUCUGUAUCACCAGUAUUUUAUAGAGGUUUCUUUGUCCAAUACAUUAAGGAAUUGACAUCUGAAAGGAGGAUAUAGGAAAAUAUAUGAAAGCCUCUCCUGGAAGUAUAUGUGUAUUUUCUGAUAUGUGCCGUAAGAAAUUUCAAACUCUAGGUGGUUUUUAGUAACAUACAUAUGUUAAAAAAAAAGAAAAAAGAAAAAUCUCCUUUUGUUAUACACAGUAAUCAUCUUGUAUAGGGCAGCCAUUAACAUAUGCUUUAGAAUUGUGAUUUUUUUUGACUUUGUACUUAUCAUCUGUAGAGAUAAGUCAAUGAUGUUAUUUUUUAUUGACAAUAUGUAUAUGUAUUUUUGUGUGUUAGCCAGAGAAAUUUUUUCUGUCUGUUAUUGCUUUUUGGUUUAAUAAUAUGCAAAUGCAAACCUCAGAGGUUUGUCUGGGUUUCCAAAAUAGCCGUCUGAUAGCAACCCAAUAGUGGCUUUUGCUUGGCCACUUAGGCAAUACUAUUCCUCAGGCUCUUCUUCACUUAUCUGCAUGACACCAUCUCAGGGUUUGGCCUGUGGAUGUUCCAUUCCCAUCAGUAAAUAAAUAUUUGUCAAUAUACAAAUGCUACUAAGGGUUUUUGUACCCUUUUGAACCCAAUUUUUUCCUUCAGUGCUAUUCUUCCUGACAUCCAUGCAGUUAUCUAUCUGUACAAGAAAAUCUGAAUGACUUUUUGUUACUAAUGGGAAUGAAGAGUGUAAGAAAAUCAAGAUUUGGUAAUAUUAAUCAAGCUGAUGCAUUGUUUUAUAAAGUGUUUUCAUGUAUUGGUAUAUUAGAUGUUACUGUGAGUUUCCUGGAAGUAAACUCAAUAUUUAUUUGGUUCCUUUUAAAUGCCAGUCUUACAUACAUUCAGUUAGAAAGGCUAUUCACUUUGGUGUUGGACUAUCAAAUGCUUUGCUAUCUCAUCCAGCUGAGAAGAAAUUCUUGUUUGUUAUGUUAAUCAUUAUGAAAAUAAAAGUCUGUGUGCACUGGCAAUUGAA